AAAUUGAAGAGUUUGAUCAUGGCUCAGAUUGAACGCUGGCGGCAGGCCUAACACAUGCAAGUCGAACGGUAACAGGAAGCAGAUUGCUGCUUCGCUGACGAGUGGCGGACGGGUGAGUAAUGUCUGGGAAACUGCCUGAUGGAGGGGGAUAACUACUGGAAACGGUAGCUAAUACCGCAUAACGUCGCAAGACCAAAGAGGGGGACCUUCGGGCCUCUUGCCAUCGGAU
Molecule: ribosomal RNA, 229 nt
Filed under: Escherichia coli
Lineage: Bacteria; Pseudomonadati; Pseudomonadota; Gammaproteobacteria; Enterobacterales; Enterobacteriaceae
Description: partial 16S ribosomal RNA
Rfam family: Bacterial small subunit ribosomal RNA
Source: RNAcentral